UGGGGCGUCGUCAAGUGGUAAGACACAAGACUUUGGAUCUUGUAUCCCAGGUUCGAAUCCUGGCGCCCCAGCCA
Molecule: transfer RNA, 74 nt
Filed under: candidate division Zixibacteria bacterium SM1_73
Lineage: Bacteria; Pseudomonadati; Candidatus Zixiibacteriota
Also listed under: 2 other names
Description: tRNA-Gln
Rfam family: tRNA
About the family: Transfer RNA (tRNA) molecules are approximately 80 nucleotides in length. Their secondary structure includes four short double-helical elements and three loops (D, anti-codon, and T loops).
Source: RNAcentral